GAAUUAAGGCUCGGUAUAGCCAAGGAUUGAGAUGCGGAUAGGUCUAAAAUAAGUCUGUGUUUACCUGAGGAUUUCCCGGUGACUAAUCCUAUAGGGUUGGUUCUCCAAUUGGAAAAUGGGUGCUCCCGAAAAGGACCCAAGAAGAACCCAUCCUCCAAUUCUUUUUGUAAAAGAGUAUCAACCAUUUCCACGUCAGAAAAUGCUGAUUGUAAAUUGUUGCAUUCGUAAAUGCCAGAGGGGAUAUGUACUAAACCUGUAUGAAAUCCCUCCGUGAAACCAUCUAUUAAGAAAUCCACCAGGUGUCUGGAUGGGUAAGAGGCUGAUGCGUGAGCCAAAGAACCAAUCUUUAUGGAUGUCAAGUAAGGUUUAGCAUGACUUUUAUUAGGACACAUGGACUUGGCGUGGGCCCUAAAACAAUGUGAACACACAUGUAACAUUCUGCAGGCACUAUAGCCACAGGUACCUAUGUUAAAGUUGUUACACACCUGUGACUUUCCUAGGUAAAAAAAAACGACCGAGUUUGUCCUUGCCAGAUCUGUCCAACCUAGUAUGUGGUUCAUGGAAAGUCCCAGGUGUGGACUCUGGCAUAGUGGGACAAUAGUCCGAGGAAUGUGAUGUAGAAGCUGGUGUCUUGAGACCAGCAAAAUGCCUACAAAAUAGCUCCGUAUCCAUACGGCUCCAGUCAGUUUUGAUGUUAUACUGAGCCAAAAUUGCAGAUGCUCUUGCCGAAAAAGACUGGUGGUAGUCAUAAAAGGAUGACUCACCGUAUUUGCUUCCCAAAUCCACCAGCUUGUGCAUGUAGAGGUCGAGUUCCUCUCGUCUAUGCGGGUAAACAGAACAAAUUACAUCACGAUAGAUACCAAAAGCUUAGACAAAAUCAGUUAUGGAUAGUUUCUUAUUCAGUCUAGGGUCCCUGGCUUUGA
Non-coding RNA from Pelobates cultripes (western spadefoot toad), 923 nucleotides. NCBI's taxonomy places the organism in Eukaryota, Metazoa, Chordata, Amphibia, Anura, Pelobatidae. The record is from the annotation of a GenBank genome assembly.